RNAcentral lists this transfer RNA (65 nucleotides) under Paraburkholderia phenoliruptrix. RNAcentral describes it as "tRNA-Ile". Lineage: Bacteria; Pseudomonadati; Pseudomonadota; Betaproteobacteria; Burkholderiales; Burkholderiaceae. The record is from RNAcentral.
GGAAAGAGGUCUCGGUAUGAUAGGUUAAUAGCCUAUCGGGGGUUCGAAUCCCCCUCUCUCCGCCA